AAAAGGUUAUGGAUUUGGACAUGGAAAGAAAGAUUCAAUCUUUGUAACCGAGAGAUGGAGAGUAACACAAAUAACAAUAAGAGAAGCGAAAUCGGGAAGCCGAUGGUUGGAUUGAUAUGCGGUACGUUGGUGUACUAUCACUGUGCGUAUCGGAAUGCCAGCCUUCUCUCUUUGGUUUCCGAUGUUCUCAUCGUCCUCCUCUGCUCCCUCGCCAUUCUCGGUCUGCUCUUCCG
RNAcentral lists this unclassified non-coding RNA (233 nucleotides) under Hevea brasiliensis (rubber tree). The record is from RNAcentral. Lineage: Eukaryota; Viridiplantae; Streptophyta; Magnoliopsida; Malpighiales; Euphorbiaceae.